This 88-nucleotide transfer RNA is filed under the name Ignisphaera aggregans. RNAcentral's name for it is "tRNA-Leu". It matches the Rfam family "tRNA". From Rfam's summary of the family: Transfer RNA (tRNA) molecules are approximately 80 nucleotides in length. Their secondary structure includes four short double-helical elements and three loops (D, anti-codon, and T loops). The record is from RNAcentral. Lineage: Archaea; Thermoproteati; Thermoproteota; Thermoprotei; Desulfurococcales; Desulfurococcaceae.
GCGGGGGUGCCCGAGCUAGGUCAAAGGGGUCGGGCUCAGGACCCGAUGGCAUAGGCCUGCGUGGGUUCGAAUCCCACCCCCCGCACCA